Molecule: ribosomal RNA, 253 nt
Filed under: uncultured bacterium
Lineage: Bacteria
Description: partial 16S ribosomal RNA
Rfam family: Bacterial small subunit ribosomal RNA
Source: RNAcentral
UACGAAGGGGGCUAGCGUUGCUCGGAAUGACUGGGCGUAAAGGGCGCGUAGGCGGAUGGUACAGUCAGAUGUGAAAUUCCCGGGCUUAACCUGGGGGCUGCAUUUGAUACGUGCGAUCUGGAGUGAGGAAGAGGGUCGUGGAAUUCCCAGUGUAGAGGUGAAAUUCGUAGAUAUUGGGAAGAACACCGGUGGCGAAGGCGGCUCUCUGGGACGGUACUGACGCUGAGACGCGAAAGCGUGGGGAGCGAACAGG